GACCUGUUGCUCUGCUUCUUGGUAGAGCAUGAGAUUUUUAAUCUCAGGGUUGUGGGUUCAAGCCCCAAGUUGAACA
Molecule: non-coding RNA, 76 nt
Organism: Podarcis lilfordi (Lilford's wall lizard)
Lineage: Eukaryota; Metazoa; Chordata; Lepidosauria; Squamata; Lacertidae
Source: the annotation of a GenBank genome assembly